AUACGGAGGAUCCGAGCGUUAUCCGGAUUUAUUGGGUUUAAAGGGAGCGUAGGUGGAUUGUUAAGUCAGUUGUGAAAGUUUGCGGCUCAACCGUAAAAUUGCAGUUGAAACUGGCAGUCUUGAGUACAGUAGAGGUGGGCGGAAUUCGUGGUGUAGCGGUGAAAUGCUUAGAUAUCACGAAGAACUCCGAUUGCGAAGGCAGCUCACUAGACUGUUACUGACACUGAUGCUCGAAAGUGUGGGUAUCAAACAGGAUUAGAUACCCUGGUAGUCCACACAGUAAACGAUGAAUACUCGCUGUUUGCGAUAUACAGUAAGCGGCCAAGCGAAAGCAUUAAGUAUUCCACCAGGGGAGUACGCCGGCAACGGUGAAACUCAAAUGAAUUGACGGGG
RNAcentral lists this ribosomal RNA (393 nucleotides) under uncultured bacterium. RNAcentral describes it as "partial 16S ribosomal RNA". It matches the Rfam family "Bacterial small subunit ribosomal RNA", at positions 523 to 918 of the family's 1533-position model. The record is from RNAcentral.